AGAAGAAGUAAUUAGAGAGAUAAUGGAUCUGGCGAUUACCUCGAAGGAGGUGGAGAUCGGAUCGGAGAUGACGAUUCUAAGCACGGAUCGGGAGCGCCGGAGACAAGAUUUGGCAAACCGAAUAGAGUUUUCCAAUGGGGAUUGAGGGGAAUUUCAAGGGACUGAAUUUUUUUUACCUCCAAGAACCGGAGACGGGAAGAGAAGCCCAACGGAGGGCGGAGGAGAGGGGUCGGGGGCCAGGAAGAAGCAAAUGCGUCAGGUAGCCUCCAGGACGGUUGAGUGUUAGUGGCUGGGCUCCAGUCGGAACUGGGCCACCUCCGGCCCAAGCCCAGCUUUGCCUCCAGAGCCUCGUCGCCUUGGGUUCGCAAGACAGGAUGGUAGGGUGAAAAAUAUAUCUACCUAAACUCGAUCUAUUUCUUGAGUAGAUCAAACUUUCAGUUCUAUUAACAGAUAAUCAGAC
This 460-nucleotide long non-coding RNA is filed under the name Phoenix dactylifera (date palm). Its description in RNAcentral is "long non-coding RNA (PDAC_LNC013597)". The record is from RNAcentral. Lineage: Eukaryota; Viridiplantae; Streptophyta; Magnoliopsida; Arecales; Arecaceae.